Molecule: ribosomal RNA, 253 nt
Filed under: uncultured bacterium
Lineage: Bacteria
Description: partial 16S ribosomal RNA
Rfam family: Bacterial small subunit ribosomal RNA
Source: RNAcentral
UACGGGGGGGGCAAGCGUUGUUCGGAAUUACUGGGCGUAAAGGGCCAGUAGGCGGCCAACUAAGUCAGAUGUGAAAUCCCCGGGCUUAACCUGGGAACUGCGUUUGAAACUGAAAGGCUAGAGUGUGGCAGAGGGGGGUGGAAUUCCACGUGUAGCAGUGAAAUGCGUAGAGAUGUGGAGGAACACCGAUGGCGAAGGCAGCCCCCUGGGCUAACACUGACGCUCAUGCACGAAAGCGUGGGGAGCAAACAGG